UAUUUUGCAGUGACGAUACAAUUUGUGGACUAGAGUUUCUGAUUUGGGAAUCUUCGCCCAUUAAUUGAUUACAAACCCUUGGUUGUCUGAGCACUCUC
This is a small nucleolar RNA of Lathyrus oleraceus (garden pea), 98 nucleotides long. RefSeq annotates it as small nucleolar RNA Z157/R69/R10. The transcript has a single exon. The record is from RefSeq and is a predicted model, not a curated record. Lineage: Eukaryota; Viridiplantae; Streptophyta; Magnoliopsida; Fabales; Fabaceae.